GUGGAGCAUGUGGCUUAAUUUGACUCAACGCGGGAAAUCUUACCGGGUCCGGACACACUGAGGAUUGACAGGUUAUAUCAUACUGCUCUCGUUAGCAGCAUGUGUUAAAUAUGCUAGUCCUUUCAUGAUUAUGUGAUAGGUGGUGCAUGGCCGUUCUUAGUUCGUGGAGUGAUCUGUCUGCUUAAUUGCGUUUCACUACGAAUUCGCAUUCAAAUGUAUGUUUGUGUGGUACUUUGAUCCCUGCUUUAACCGGCAGUUGUGCGUCUCUGUACCGUUCUCACAUCGUACUAAGUGAAUUCUGAAAGCAACGAACGUGACCG
Molecule: ribosomal RNA, 320 nt
Filed under: Foraminifera environmental sample
Lineage: Eukaryota; Foraminifera
Description: SSU rRNA
Rfam family: Eukaryotic small subunit ribosomal RNA
Source: RNAcentral